AUUGAACGCUGGCGGCAGGCCUAACACAUGCACGUCGAGCGAGCGGCGGACGGGUGAGUAAUGUAUGGGGACUGCCCGAUAGAGGGGGAUACCUCCUUGAAACGGUUGCUAAUACCGCAUACUAUCGGAUAACCCAUAUGGGAGUAGCUAGUAGGUGCGGUAAAGGCUCACCUAGGCGACGAUCUAUAGCUGGUCUGAGAGGAUGAUCAGCCACACGGUGACUGAGACACGGCCCAGACUCCUACGGAGGCAGCAGUGGGGAAUAUUGCACAAUGGGCGAAAGCCUGAUGCAGCCAUGCCGCGUGUAUGAAGAAGGCCUUAGGGUUGUAAAGGACUUUCAGCGGGGAGGCGUUACCCGCAGAAGAAGCACCGGCUAACUCCGGGCCAGCAGCCGCGGUAAUAC
Molecule: ribosomal RNA, 403 nt
Filed under: uncultured bacterium
Lineage: Bacteria
Description: partial 16S ribosomal RNA
Rfam family: Bacterial small subunit ribosomal RNA
Source: RNAcentral